This 49-nucleotide transfer RNA is filed under the name Hemiselmis tepida. RNAcentral's name for it is "partial tRNA". It matches the Rfam family "tRNA", at positions 19 to 65 of the family's 71-position model. Rfam says of the family: Transfer RNA (tRNA) molecules are approximately 80 nucleotides in length. Their secondary structure includes four short double-helical elements and three loops (D, anti-codon, and T loops). The record is from RNAcentral. Lineage: Eukaryota; Cryptophyceae; Cryptomonadales; Hemiselmidaceae.
UAAAGCGUAUGACUGUUAAUCAUAAGGUCGAGAGUUCGAGUCUCUCUGG